CACCCACCAGUGGCAUGUGGCCCCCCGGAAGGUUGCCAAGAACGGAAUGCGGCCCUUGAGAUGAAAAAGUGUUUCUGCAUCCCGCACUAGGGCACCUGGCAGAGCGCCCCCUGGCCUAUCGUUCUCCAGCCUAGGAUGACUUGGCAUACAGACAGGUAAGGUGGGAAAAGACGCCCCCAUUGGUCUCUACGGCAACCAAGCCCGCUCUUUGGACAUGUAAAUGGCAGUACUUCAGCGGCCAGCUAAAGCUGGAAUCUUGC
Molecule: long non-coding RNA, 260 nt
Organism: Podarcis raffonei (Aeolian wall lizard)
Lineage: Eukaryota; Metazoa; Chordata; Lepidosauria; Squamata; Lacertidae
Exons: 2
Source: RefSeq, a predicted model, not a curated record